RNAcentral lists this ribosomal RNA (253 nucleotides) under uncultured bacterium. RNAcentral describes it as "partial 16S ribosomal RNA". It matches the Rfam family "Bacterial small subunit ribosomal RNA", at positions 524 to 776 of the family's 1533-position model. The record is from RNAcentral.
UACAGAGGGGGCAAGCGUUAUUCGGAAUUAUUGGGCGUAAAGGGCGCGUAGGCGGCCUGCCAAGUGGAAGGUGAAAUCCCUCGGCUUAACCGAGGAACUGCCUUCCAAACUGUUUGGCUUGAGCCCGGGAGAGGCGAGUGGAAUUCCCAGUGUAGCGGUGAAAUGCGUAGAUAUUGGGAGGAACACCAGUGGCGAAGGCGGCUCGCUGGACCGGUCCUGACGCUCAGGCGCGAAAGCGUGGGGAGCGAUCCGG